AUACCAAUUGUUGCCUCGGCGGAUCAGCCCGCUCCCGGUAAAACGGGACGGCCCGCCAGAGGACCCCUAAACUCUGUUUCUAUAUGUAACUUCUGAGUAAAACCAUAAAUAAAUCAAAACUUUCAACAACGGAUCUCUUGGUUCUGGCAUCGAUGAAGAACGCAGCAAAAUGCGAUAAGUAAUGUGAAUUGCAGAAUUCAGUGAAUCAUCGAAUCUUUGAACGCACAUUGCGCCCGCCAGUAUUCUGGCGGGCAUGCCUGUUCGAGCGUCAUUUCAACCCUCAAGCCCAGCUUGGUGUUGGGACUCGCGAGUCAAAUCGCGUUCCCCAAAUUGAUUGGCGGUCACGUCGAGCUUCCAUAGCGUAGUAGUAAAACCCUCGUUACUGGUAAUCGUCGCGGCCACGCCGUUAAACCCCAACUUCUGAAUGUUGACCUCGGAUCAGGUAGGAAUACCCGCUGAACUUAAGCAUAUCAA
This 474-nucleotide ribosomal RNA is filed under the name Fusarium sp. AS311. RNAcentral describes it as "eukaryotic LSU rRNA". The stretch from base 118 to 271 matches the Rfam family "5.8S ribosomal RNA". Lineage: Eukaryota; Fungi; Ascomycota; Sordariomycetes; Hypocreales; Nectriaceae. The record is from RNAcentral.